RNAcentral lists this ribosomal RNA (498 nucleotides) under uncultured bacterium. Its description in RNAcentral is "bacterial SSU rRNA". It matches the Rfam family "Bacterial small subunit ribosomal RNA", at positions 32 to 518 of the family's 1533-position model. The record is from RNAcentral.
CGACGCUGGCGGCGUGCCUAACACAUGCAAGUCGAACGGAACUAUUUGAAGGAUCUCUUCGGAGUGACGUAAUUUUAGUUAGUGGCGGACGGGUGAGUAACGCGUGAGUAACCUGCCUCUGAGGAGGGGAAUAACGUUCUAGAAAAGAACGCUAAUACCGCAUAACAUAUAUUUGCCGCAUGACAGAUAUAUACAAAGUAUUUUUAUCGCUCAGAGAUGGACUCGCGUCGAUUAGUUAGUUGGUGAGGUAACGGCUCACCAAGACCGCGAUCGGUAGCCGGACUGAGAGGUUGAUCGGCCACAUUGGGACUGAGACACCGGCCCAGACUCCGUACGGGAGGCAGCAGGUGGGGGAUAUUGCGCAAGUGGGGGCAAACCCCUGACGCAGCAACGCCGCGUGAAGGACGAAGGUCUUCGGAUUGUAAACUUCUUUUGUCAGGGACGAAAUUUGACGGUACCUGACGAAUAAGCUCCGGCUAACUACGUGCCAGCCGCCGC